RNAcentral lists this ribosomal RNA (440 nucleotides) under uncultured bacterium. RNAcentral describes it as "partial 16S ribosomal RNA". It matches the Rfam family "Bacterial small subunit ribosomal RNA", at positions 338 to 795 of the family's 1533-position model. The record is from RNAcentral.
CCUACGGGUGGCUGCAGUGGGGAAUAUUGCACAAUGGGGGGAACCCUGAUGCAGCGACGCCGCGUGGGUGAAGGAGUACUUCGGUACGUAAAGCCCUAUCAGCAGGAAAGAAAAUGACGGUACCUGACUAAGAAGCCCCGGCUAACUACGUGCCAGCAGCCGCGGUAAUACGUAGGGGGCAAGCGUUAUCCGGAUUUACUGGGUGUAAAGGGAGCGUAGACGGCAGUGCAAGUCCGGAGUGAAAGCCCGGGGCUCAACCCUGGGACUGCUCUGGAAACUGUAAAGCUGGAGUGCAGGAGAGGUAAGCGGAAUUCCUAGUGUAGCGGUGAAAUGCGUAGAUAUUAGGAGGAACACCAGUGGCGAAGGCGGCUUACUGGACUGUAACUGACGUUGAGGCUCGAAAGCGUGGGGAGCAAACAGGAUUAGAUACCCUAGUAGUC